GGUGACCAGAUCUUGUUCUGGACAGAAAGUUGGUCGUGUGGUCCAUGGCGGGGUCAGCUUGGGGCAAAGUCUGGAUGCCAAUUCCCAUGGCUGAGAUGAUGGCCAACAUCCUGUUCAGACUCCAGCCAGCCACCCAGGAAGGAAGCAUCCUGUUCCUUUUAAACAGAGGGCCCGGCCGGCCACAUGGCCACGCUGUUGACAAGCUCUGAUCCACACUCUGCAAUGUGACUUUGCAGCUUUUGACUGGUUUCAUGGCUUGCUUCUGGCCAAGA
This is a long non-coding RNA of Herpailurus yagouaroundi (jaguarundi), 272 nucleotides long. RefSeq lists it as uncharacterized. The transcript has 3 exons. The record is from RefSeq and is a predicted model, not a curated record. NCBI's taxonomy places the organism in Eukaryota, Metazoa, Chordata, Mammalia, Carnivora, Felidae.